RNAcentral lists this ribosomal RNA (502 nucleotides) under uncultured Glomeromycotina. RNAcentral's name for it is "partial small subunit ribosomal RNA". It matches the Rfam family "Eukaryotic small subunit ribosomal RNA", at positions 591 to 1092 of the family's 1831-position model. Lineage: Eukaryota; Fungi; Glomeromycota. The record is from RNAcentral.
CCAAUAGCGUAUAUUAAAGUUGUUGCAGUUAAAAAGCUCGUAGUUGAACUUCGGGGUCUACCCAUUGGUCAGGCUUAAUUGUCUGCACUGGUGAGAUGGAUCUCUACCUUCUGAGGAACUUUCAUGCCAUUUAUUUGGUGUGAUGGGAAAUCAGGACUGUUACUUUGAAAAAAUUAGAGUGUUUAAAGCAGACUAUCGUCUGAAUACAUUAGCAUGGAAUAAUGAAAUAGGACGGACUGAUUCUAUUUCGUUGGUUUCUAGGAUCACCGUAAUGAUUAAUAGGGAUAGUUGGGGGCAUUAGUAUUCAAUUGUCAGAGGUGAAAUUCUUGGAUCUAUUGAAGACUAACUACUGCGAAAGCAUUUGCCAAGGAUGUUUUCAUUAAUCAAGAACGAAAGUUAGGGGAUCGAAGACGAUCAGAUACCGUCGUAGUCUUAACCAUAAACUAUGCCGACUAGGGAUCGGAUGAUGUUAAUUUUUUAAUGACUCAUUCGGCGCCUUACG